RNAcentral lists this long non-coding RNA (250 nucleotides) under Gossypium barbadense (sea-island cotton). RNAcentral's name for it is "long non-coding RNA (GBAR_LNC000417)". The record is from RNAcentral. Lineage: Eukaryota; Viridiplantae; Streptophyta; Magnoliopsida; Malvales; Malvaceae.
GGGGAAUUACUUUUGGAAAAAUGAUUGAAUUAAAACAAUACCUAAGGAAAACUCCACCUAGACUUCACUUGUUAUUUAACUCUGAAUCGGAGAUUUAUUCAUUUGACUUGAUCCGUAGAAAUCGCUAAGUUAUAUUAUUAUCCCUCUCGAGACUAAAAACGUCUAACCCCAGGUUGAAUAAUUGAAAUCUCUUUCUAAUUAACUCCCUAGGGUUGCAUUAACUCGAUCUAUGGAUCCCCUUAUUAAGUUU